UCCCCUAGUAACGGCGAGUGAAGAGGGAAAAGCCCAGCACCGAAGCCUGNAGCAGUUUUUGUUAGGCAAUGUGGUGUUUGGGUCGACUGGUUGGGUUGCCACUCCACUCGAAGUCCAGCAUUGAGUAUGGUAUCCUGGAUUUGGCCCAAAGAGGGUGAAAGGCCCGUGCGAGUGGAUGUCUCAGACAUGUAAGGCAACUCAUCAGGUCGACCUUCGAGUCGGGUUGUUUGAGAAUGCAGCCCUAAGCGGGUGGUAAACUCCAUCCAAGGCUAAAUACGUACACGAGUCCGAUAGCGAACAAGUACCGUGAGGGAAAGUUGAAAAGUACUCUGAAGAGAGAGUAAACAGUACGUGAAACCGUAUAGAGGUAAACGGGUGGCGUCAAGCUGCAAGCCUAGAGGAUUCAGUUGGUCAUCGUGUGUGUAUCCGUUUGUGUAUCUCAGUCGGUAAUAGUUUGGGUAGUCCACUGGUCAACGGUGGGCCUGGCCGCAAGGUCAGGAUGUACGAUUCGCUGGUUUGCGAUGUACGCUGCUCGCUAUUGGACUGGAUGGCCAAUGCAAUUCCUCUAUGGUGAACACCACGACCGGUGGUACUGCCAGUCUGACUUGGUCAAGUUGUAGUCAGUUAGGCAUUUAUGUCGGCUGGUUGCAAUCACAGGCAAACUCGGUGGACGGUGAGUUGACUUCAUGUUAUCGGCUACUGGUUGUCAACGGGUCUGUUCGUCGGUGCAGUCCUCGGCGGGCGACCUGGUGGACCUUGUUGGUUGUCUAACUGUGCAGGGCACUGGAGUUGUCGGUCCCGUGCGCACACUGCAAGUGUAUGGGGGCGUCAUCGCAGCCUGUCGGUGGUUGCACCUGAUUGUCGUGUUGCCUGCGCAAAGUGGGCCCGGCAGUGGUGUGGCCUCGGUUGGUGUUGUUGGUGGCGGUGUGCCAGUUGGUGUGGACCUGAUAGUCUGUGGUGUAGUGGUAGACCAGCCACCCGACCCGUCUUGAAACACGGACCAAGGAGUUUAACAUGCACGCGAGUCAUUGGGAUACGAAACCCAAAGGCGCAAUGAAAGUGAAUCCUCGACUUGUUCUCGGGGUGUGGUGAGAUCCUGCUGUUACUCGCAUCUGCACUUGUCGUGUGGCCACGGAACGCAAAGAGCAGUGGGCGCAUCACCGGCCCGUCCCAUGAUGUGGUCAUUGGUAGGCUGCUGUUGUGGUUCGGCUGUGGCGGCGGCUCCAG
This 1227-nucleotide ribosomal RNA is filed under the name Oncomegas wageneri. RNAcentral describes it as "partial 28S large subunit ribosomal RNA". It matches the Rfam family "Eukaryotic large subunit ribosomal RNA", at positions 76 to 800 of the family's 3401-position model. Lineage: Eukaryota; Metazoa; Platyhelminthes; Cestoda; Trypanorhyncha; Eutetrarhynchidae. The record is from RNAcentral.